Molecule: ribosomal RNA, 322 nt
Filed under: uncultured eukaryote
Lineage: Eukaryota
Description: partial 18S ribosomal RNA
Rfam family: Eukaryotic small subunit ribosomal RNA
Source: RNAcentral
CCCUUAGAUGUUCUGGGCCGCACGCGUGCUACACUGAGUGGAUCAGCGGGUCAGGUUGCGCGAAAGCGUUUCCUAAUCUUUAAAUCCGCUCGUGAUGGGGAUUGACGGUUGCAAUUUUCUGUCAUGAACGAGGAAUACCUUGUAAGCGCGGGUCAUCAUCCCGCGCUGAAUACGUCCCUGCCCUUUGUACACACCGCCCGUCGCUACUACCGAUUGAAUGGCUUAGUGAGCUUUCUGGACUGUUGCUUUUCGUUGGAAACUUCGUUAAGCAUACGGGAAGGAAAUCAAACUUGAUCAUUUAGAGGAAGUAAAAGUCGUAACA